GUGGCGAACGGGUGAGUAACACGUGAGUAACCUGCCCCUGACUCUGGGAUAAGCCUUGGAAACGAGGUCUAAUACCGGAUACGAGACGCUCGGGCAUCUGAAGCGUCUGGAAAGAUUUAUCGGUCUGGGAUGGACUCGCGGCCUAUCAGCUUGUUGGUGAGGUAGUGGCUCACCAAGGCGACGACGGGUAGCCGGCCUGAGAGGGCGACCGGCCACACUGGGACUGAGACACGGCCCAGACUCCUACGGGAGGCAGCAGUGGGGAAUAUUGCACAAUGGGCGCAAGCCUGAUGCAGCGACGCCGCGUGAGGGAUGAAGGCCUUCGGGUUGUAAACCUCUUUCAGCAGGGAAGAAGCGCAAGUGACGGUACCUGCAGAAGAAGCGCCGGCUAACUACGUGCCAGCAGCCGCGGUAAUACGUAGGGCGCAAGCGUUGUCCGGAAUUAUUGGGCGUAAAGAGCUCGUAGGCGGUUUGUCGCGUCUGCUGUGAAAACUCGAGGCUCAACCUCGGGCUUGCAGUGGGUACGGGCAGACUAGAGUGCGGUAGGGGUGACUGGAAUUCCUGGUGUAGCGGUGGAAUGCGCAGAUAUCAGGAGGAACACCGAUGGCGAAGGCAGGUCACUGGGCCGCAACUGACGCUGAGGAGCGAAAGCAUGGGGAGCGAACAGGAUUAGAUACCCUGGUA
Molecule: ribosomal RNA, 684 nt
Filed under: Cellulomonas sp.
Lineage: Bacteria; Bacillati; Actinomycetota; Actinomycetes; Micrococcales; Cellulomonadaceae
Description: bacterial SSU rRNA
Rfam family: Bacterial small subunit ribosomal RNA
Source: RNAcentral